Molecule: small nucleolar RNA, 83 nt
Filed under: Sphenodon punctatus (tuatara)
Lineage: Eukaryota; Metazoa; Chordata; Lepidosauria; Sphenodontia; Sphenodontidae
Description: Small nucleolar RNA SNORD87 (ENSSPUG00000000309.1)
Rfam family: Small nucleolar RNA SNORD87
About the family: U87 (HBII-276) is a member of the C/D class of snoRNA which contain the C (UGAUGA) and D (CUGA) box motifs.
Source: Rfam by way of RNAcentral
CCUGGCAUAAUGAUGAUUUCCUUUUUGCCGUUUACCCAGCUGAAUAUUAUUUCCUUGAUGUGAGCUGAAUCUGAGAUGCCAGC